GAUGAACGCUGGCGGCGUGCCUAAUACAUGCAAGUCGAGCGAACGGACGAGAAGCUUGCUUCUCUGAUGUUAGCGGCGGACGGGUGAGUAACACGUGGAGAACCUACCUAUAAGACUGGGAUAACUUCGGGAAACCGGAGCUAAUACCGGAUAAUAUUUUGAACCGCAUGGUUCAAAAGUGAAAGACGGUCUUGCUGUCACUUAUAGAUGGAUCCGCGCUGCAUUAGCUAGUUGGUAAGGUAACGGCUUACCAAGGCAACGAUGCAUAGCCGACCUGAGAGGGUGAUCGGCCACCCUGGAACUGAGACACGGUCCAGACUCCUACGGGAGGCAGCAGUAGGGAAUCUUCCGCAAUGGGCGAAAGCCUGACGGAGCAACGCCGCGUGAGUGAUGAAGGUCUUCGGAUCGUAAAACUCUGUUAUUAGGGAAGAACAUAUGUGUAAGUAACUGUGCACAUCUUGACGGUACCUAAUCAGAAAGCCACGGCUAACUACGUG
This 497-nucleotide ribosomal RNA is filed under the name uncultured bacterium. RNAcentral describes it as "partial 16S ribosomal RNA". It matches the Rfam family "Bacterial small subunit ribosomal RNA", at positions 28 to 507 of the family's 1533-position model. The record is from RNAcentral.